Molecule: ribosomal RNA, 253 nt
Filed under: uncultured bacterium
Lineage: Bacteria
Description: partial 16S ribosomal RNA
Rfam family: Bacterial small subunit ribosomal RNA
Source: RNAcentral
UACGGAGGAUGCAAGUGUUAUCCGGAAUCACUGGGCGUAAAGCGUCUGUAGGUGGUUCGAAAAGUCCACUGUUAAAAAUUGAGGCUUAACUUCAAAGAUGCCGUGGAAACUUUCAAACUAGAGUAUGGUAGGGGUAGAGGGAAUUUCCAGUGGAGCGGUGAAAUGCGUAGAUAUUGGAAAGACCACCGAUGGCGAAGGCACUCUACUGGGCCAUUACUGACACUGAGAGACGAAAGCUAGGGGAGCAAAUGGG